RNAcentral lists this ribosomal RNA (253 nucleotides) under uncultured bacterium. RNAcentral describes it as "partial 16S ribosomal RNA". It matches the Rfam family "Bacterial small subunit ribosomal RNA", at positions 524 to 776 of the family's 1533-position model. The record is from RNAcentral.
UACGAAGGGGGCUAGCGUUGCUCGGAAUCACUGGGCGUAAAGCGCGCGUAGGCGGGUCUUUAAGUCAGGGGUGAAAUCCUGGAGCUCAACUCCAGAACUGCCUUUGAUACUGAGGAUCUCGAGUCCGGGAGAGGUGAGUGGAACUCCGAGUGUAGAGGUGAAAUUCGUAGAUAUUCGCAAGAACACCAGUGGCGAAGGCGGCUCACUGGCCCGGUACUGACGCUGAGGUGCGAAAGCGUGGGGAGCAAACAGG